UCCGCGAUAGCUCAGCUGGUAGAGCGUUCGACUGUUAAUCGAAUGGUCGCAGGUUCGAGCCCUGCUCGCGGAGCCA
RNAcentral lists this transfer RNA (76 nucleotides) under Meiothermus hypogaeus. Its description in RNAcentral is "tRNA-Asn". It matches the Rfam family "tRNA". Rfam says of the family: Transfer RNA (tRNA) molecules are approximately 80 nucleotides in length. The record is from RNAcentral. Lineage: Bacteria; Thermotogati; Deinococcota; Deinococci; Thermales; Thermaceae. RNAcentral also lists the same sequence under 5 other names.